Molecule: long non-coding RNA, 2213 nt
Organism: Mobula hypostoma (lesser devil ray)
Lineage: Eukaryota; Metazoa; Chordata; Chondrichthyes; Myliobatiformes; Myliobatidae
Exons: 4
Source: RefSeq, a predicted model, not a curated record
UAGAAGACAGCAGCGCGGCUAAUGUAGAUGAACUGAACACACUGAUGAGGGAGAGGGAGAAGUGGAGAGUCCGUCAUUGUGCCUGAUGCCGGCCCCCUAGGCCUGAGUCAACGUAGUAGUAGUAGUAGGUUAAAGGGUUGGCACAACAUAAUGGGCUGAAGGGCCUGUACUGUACUGUAUUGUUCUAUGUAAUCAAAGAAAUGGUUUUGAAGUGAAUCAUUGUAUCAAAGGAUCAUCCAUGGGUGCAGGGAAACAUGUCCCAAAAACGAGAAUUGAUUAGUACAACACACACAAAAUGCUGGAGGAACUCAGCAGGCCAGGCAGCAUCUAUGGAAAAGAGUACAGCUGGCAUUUCAGGCCGAGAUCCUCAGUGAUGGUAGAAGGAUAGAGCUUGCCUAGGUGAACAGUGAUUGAAUCUAGCAAAUCCACAUAACAGUGGAGUUACCGCAAAUGCUUAUGUUGAGCCAUUAAACUGAUGUGAUACUCUCCCACUGCUCUUUUGCCUGCGCACAGUAACACACAGCACUAGUCUACCUUGCAUUGCAGUUGGGACCUCCCAUUUCAGGCAAGGAAUGAAGUAAUGACCUCGCACAAGUAAAUGAAUUAAAUGGUUUGAGUACGUUUUUGAGUUCCCACCAGUGUUCACCAAGGGCUGUUUACUUUGGCCACUGUCCAGGAAACAUGAUUAAAUAAUUCAAAGCCAAUGAACGAGACUUUGCUGAUGUUGCUCAGGACUCAGGUAGACACAUGCAAGCUGACCAGGCCGGCUUUCCCUGAUUGCAAAAGACACAAGUCCUUCAGUAACGGGUUGCUCGCAUUGUGUACAGCAGAGAUAUCGCAAGGCAGCUUCCACAGGAGGAGGACGGAGAAAGGGGGUUGGCUGGUUUGAGAAGAAGGCCAAAAACCUCUAUGUGGCAGAAGACAAUCAAUGGACCAUUCUCUUCAGAAAACCUAAGUAUCUACCACCCUGCAGAGGGAGGCAGAGGUGCACUGAUGGGACUGCUUUGAGUCAGUGGACUGGAUAACAUUCAGGGAUUCAUCUUAGAGUCUGAAUGAAUAACUUCAUCAAGAACUGUGUGUUUGAGCGUGUGCCUUCGAGAACAUGCCAGGCAUAGCAAAACCAAAAGCCGUGGAUGAACCAGGAGAUCCAUAGUCUGCUGAGGGUUCGAUCUGUGGCAUUCAAGACCGGCGAUCAAGAACUGUAUAAGAAGACAAGAUUUGUAGCAUGUUCAAUGCAUAAUAAUAGGCUGGAACUUGUGGAGGAAAGCAGUCAAUUCUUUAGUGAACUCCCAGCUACCUUCACCUGUCCACAGAGUUGGGAAGAGGAGAGUGUGCCGAGUCAUUUGAAAGGAGAGGAAUGGCUCUGAAGGAGAAGGAUUUGAUAAAACCUGGUGUUGUGGGGUUGCUGGCUUUUGAGUUUUUCUCCGCUGUUGUAAGACGGGAGCUUAUUCUUGCCUGACAUUGUGAAGCACAAGGCUUGCAGACCAUAGUGCCAAUAGUAAAAAGGAGAAAAACGGAGGUCGCUAACAACCUGAAAUCAAUGCAGGAAAUACUGGACGCACCUUGCAGCAUCAAACUGCAGAGGCUGGAAAUCUGAAAUGAAAACGGAAAAUACCGCGAAUAUUCAUGUGAAUGAUUGAGUUUUGUGAUUCAAAAGCCUGAAAACAUGUGCCACAAGCUCAAGGAAAGCUUCGACCCCUCUGUUAGACGACUAUUAAAUGGUUCCUUUGUAUAAUAAAGUGGGUUUUGACCUCACAAUCUGCCUCAUUAUGAUGUUGCACCAUAUUGUCUAUCCGUGCUGUACUUUCUCUGUAGCUGUUGAACUUUGUUCUGCAUACUGUUAUUACAUUGUCUUACGUCAGUGUACUACAUAAUGAAUUUAUCUGCAUGAUCAAGCAGUAUGCAAGAUAAGUUCUUGACAAUAAUAUGACAAAAAUAAAUCAAUUCCAAUUGUUCAAUUUCUUUCUUUCUCACAUUCUACAUUUCAUUCUAUCUCUUGCUCUUCGUCUAUUACUGUUUUUCUUUCUUUCUUUCUUUCUUUCUUACUACAUCCUCUUUCUAUUUCUUUUUCUUUCUUUGUCACUUUCUCAUAUUCUCUCUCACUCUCAUUCUGUCUUGUUCUUUUUAUUUCUCUCCUUUCUCUGCCUUCCUUUCUUUCUCUCUCUCUCUCCCCCCUUCUUUCUCUUAGAAUAGUGUACAAAGGAAUUUCACAG